AUUGCUGGAUUCAGAGGCUAGAUGUAAACCACUUCUGAUGAUAACAUACCUCCCUUUUUCUUAUCAUAGAGAGAAGAAAAAAGGGAAAUAGGGGAAGCCGAUGCUAAAAGGGAAAUAGGGGCUUUAGACAUCUUAAACUGCUCCCUGCUGUCUAGGAGCAUUAUCAGUUUUGGGGUGUAGCUGACUUUCACCAUUCAGGUCCACUUGAUAGUUGUGUAAAAGGAACUGUUUGAGUUUUCAGUUACAAAAUUUUGACUUUUUCUUUGAAGGAAUGUGGAAACAAGAUUAAUGAGGCAGGGAGGAAAUAGUAGCUCCAGGAAAAUGGGGAGAAGAGGCAUUAAGAAGGGCAGUAUCCUAUUUCCAUGUAGGGUUUUGAAAAACCCAGGAAUUGGAGGCCUCAUGCUGUUCCCUAAAUUUCUAGAUGUCUGGUUGCAGCUGAUGGAAUUUAUUUCUUACUGCCCCAGAUUCAUUGACAUAGAAACAGCAUUCUUCCUGGAGAAACAGACAAAGACCACCUUCUUUAGCUGUCAGAACAUCUAGUCCCUGUCAGUUCUGAAGCACAAAUGGUGCCAAAGAAUCGAUCUUUUUCUGGAUUAUGAGCAUGGUUUCAUACAUUCCUUGGAAACCAUUGUCAAGCUGGGAUAAGAACUUCGUGUAUAGGGUUACGGAAAUCGUCGGCCCUGCUGUUCCACUGCCAGCACCUGUAGCUACUUCUGCAGCAACCAGGAAUAGCACAACCUGCAGUGCCCUCUUAUGCUGGACAGGUAUGCUACAGGUACAAAGGAGGGUCCCAGUUGGUGACCUAAAUUACCAAAUGUUGGUAUCAGGAACUGCUUUUGCCUCCAGCAAUGAUGUCAUCUGCUCACCUGAGCAUCUGUUGUCAAGGCAACGGUCAUCCAUAUCCAGCAUACAUUUCAUGUUACAGUUACACUACAUUUCACAUAAGAGGCAGAUCCUUUCUGCCCUCUUCCACUUCUCUCUCCUCUCUUCCCUUUUUCUCCUCUCUUUCUCUCCUACCUCUCUUCACCCCUUGGCUUUUGUCUCUAUCAUUCCAAUAAACCUCUCCACGUGGA
Rattus norvegicus (Norway rat) is the source of this 1073-nucleotide non-coding RNA. The record is from RefSeq and is a predicted model, not a curated record. Lineage: Eukaryota; Metazoa; Chordata; Mammalia; Rodentia; Muridae.